This is a non-coding RNA of Chrysemys picta bellii (western painted turtle), 83 nucleotides long. Lineage: Eukaryota; Metazoa; Chordata; Testudines; Emydidae. The record is from the annotation of a RefSeq genome assembly.
ACCAGAAUGGCUGAGCAGUUAAGGCAUUGGACUUAAGUUCCAAUAGACAUGUGUCUGUGUGGGUUUGAGCCCCACUUCUGGUA